AGUGAACGCUGGCGGUAGGCCUAACACAUGCAAGUCGAACGGCAGCACAGUAAGAGCUUGCUCUUACGGGUGGCGAGUGGCGGACGGGUGAGGAAUACAUCGGAAUCUACUUUUUCGUGGGGGAUAACGUAGGGAAACUUACGCUAAUACCGCAUACGACCUACGGGUGAAAGCAGGGGAUCUUCGGACCUUGCGCGAUUGAAUGAGCCGAUGUCGGAUUAGCUAGUUGGCGGGGUAAAGGCCCACCAAGGCGACGAUCCGUAGCUGGUCUGAGAGGAUGAUCAGCCACAUGGGAACUGGGACACGGUCCAUACUCCUAAGGGAGGCAGCAGUGGGGAAUAUGGGACAAUGGGCGCAAGCCUGAUCCAGCCAUACCGCGUGUGUGAAGAAGGCCUUCGGGUUGGAAAGCCCUUUUGUUGGGAAAGAAAAGCAGCAGGUUAAUACCCCGCUGUUCUGACGGUACCCAAAGAAUAAGCACCGGCUAACUUCGUG
Molecule: ribosomal RNA, 492 nt
Filed under: uncultured bacterium
Lineage: Bacteria
Description: partial 16S ribosomal RNA
Rfam family: Bacterial small subunit ribosomal RNA
Source: RNAcentral